Molecule: ribosomal RNA, 367 nt
Filed under: uncultured organism
Description: bacterial SSU rRNA
Rfam family: Bacterial small subunit ribosomal RNA
Source: RNAcentral
CGGAGGGUGCAAGCGUUAUCCGGAUUCAUUGGGUUUAAAGGGAGCGUAGGUGGCUUUGUAAGUCAGUGGUGAAAUCUUCUCGCUUAACGAGAAAACUGCCAUUGAUACUGCAGAGCUUGAGUACAGUUGCCGUUGGCGGAAUAUGACAUGUAGUGGUGAAAUACAUAGAGAUGUCAUAGAACACCGAUUGCGAAGGCAGCUAACGAAACUGUAACUGACACUGAGGCUCGAAAGUGCGGGGAUCAAACAGGAUUAGAUACCCUGGUAGUCCGCACUGUAAACGAUGAUUACUCGCUGCUGGAGGGCAACUUUCAGUGGCUUAGCGAAAGCGAUAAGUAAUCCACCUGGGGAUACGCCGGCAACGGUG